RNAcentral lists this ribosomal RNA (253 nucleotides) under uncultured bacterium. Its description in RNAcentral is "partial 16S ribosomal RNA". It matches the Rfam family "Bacterial small subunit ribosomal RNA", at positions 524 to 776 of the family's 1533-position model. The record is from RNAcentral.
UACGUAGGUGGCAAGCGUUGUCCGGAUUUACUGGGUGUAAAGGGCGUGUAGCCGGGCUUACAAGUCAGAUGUGAAAUCCGGGGGCUCAACCCCCGAACUGCAUUUGAAACUGUAGGUCUUGAGUAUCGGAGAGGCAGGCGGAAUUCCUAGUGUAGCGGUGAAAUGCGUAGAUAUUAGGAGGAACACCAGUGGCGAAGGCGGCCUGCUGGACGACUACUGACGGUGAGGCGCGAAAGCGUGGGGAGCAAACAGG